RNAcentral lists this unclassified non-coding RNA (581 nucleotides) under Hevea brasiliensis (rubber tree). Lineage: Eukaryota; Viridiplantae; Streptophyta; Magnoliopsida; Malpighiales; Euphorbiaceae. The record is from RNAcentral.
GGCCAAUGCUACCUGUAGCUCCUUCGUCUUCGCCUCAAUAUCUUUUUUUUUUUUUUUAAAGGAAGUUGAAAUUUCAUUAAAUUUUAAGAGAACAAAGGGGCUGAAAGGCGCAGUCCAAAACAAUAAAAUACAACCCAAAAGCCCAAAAUCCAUGGUGAGCCAGCGAGGAAAUCUCCAGAAACCAGUCGUGGAAGACACUCCGCGAAGCUACGCCGCCCCUACUUCUUAACAUGUAUGAAGAAGUGUGUUGAUGUGGGUAUGUAUUUGAAGUUAGCUGAUCUUUGCAAAAUUAAAGAAAUCACAAUUGAUUGAAUAUGAUGAAAGCAUUAUAUGAAAUUAUUCUCAUUUUUUUGCUGUGAAUGUGGGGAUUGUGCUCCAUUGUGAAAGUGGAACUUUGGACUAUGAAACUGGCUCAUUCUCAGGGUAUCAUUCAGGUCAUGGUUGAGUGUGAUAAUCAAGGGGUAGUGGACAUGGUGAAUGGUUCGGUUCUACCUUUGGGUAGCUGCUCAGCCCUUGUGAAAGCCAUUUGGCAGGUUUCUUGGCCUGUUAGAGUAGUGCACAUUUGCACGGAAGCAAACAUG